Molecule: ribosomal RNA, 430 nt
Filed under: uncultured bacterium
Lineage: Bacteria
Description: bacterial SSU rRNA
Rfam family: Bacterial small subunit ribosomal RNA
Source: RNAcentral
AUUGAACGCUGGCGGCAUGCUUUACACAUGCAAGUCGAACGGUAACAGGCCGCAAGGUGCUGACGAGUGGCGAACGGGUGAGUAAUGCAUCGGAACGUGCCCAGUCGUGGGGGAUAACGCAGCGAAAGCUGUGCUAAUACCGCAUACGAUCUAUGGAUGAAAGCGGGGACCGUAAGGCCUCGCGCGAUUGGAGCGGCCGAUGUCAGAUUAGGUAGUUGGUGGGGUAAAGGCUCACCAAGCCAACGAUCUGUAGCUGGUCUGAGAGGACGACCAGCCACACUGGGACUGAGACACGGCCCAGACUCCUACGGGAGGCAGCAGUGGGGAAUUUUGGACAAUGGGCGCAAGCCUGAUCCAGCAAUGCCGCGUGCAGGAAGAAGGCCUUCGGGUUGGUUAAACUAGCUUUUGUUACGGUAACGGAAACGGUACG